This 377-nucleotide ribosomal RNA is filed under the name uncultured eukaryote. RNAcentral's name for it is "partial 18S ribosomal RNA". It matches the Rfam family "Eukaryotic small subunit ribosomal RNA", at positions 592 to 976 of the family's 1831-position model. The record is from RNAcentral.
CAAUAGCGUAUAUUAAAGUUGUUGCAGUUAAAAAGCUCGUAGUUGGAUUUCGGGGCAGCCUGGCUGGUCCGCCGCAAGGCGAGUACUGGUCAGCCGCCCUUCCUCUCGAAAGCCCCGACUGCUCUUCGUUGCAGUGGUCGGGUAGUUCGGGACGUUUACUUUGAAAAAAUUAGAGUGUUCAAGGCAGGCCUACGCCUGAAUACAUUAGCAUGGAAUAAUGGAAGAGGACCUCGGUCCUAUUUUGUUGGUUUCCAAGGCCGAAGUAAUGAUUAAGAGGGACAGUUGGGGGCAUUCGUAUUUAAUUGUCAGAGGUGAAAUUCUCGGAUUUAUGAAAGACGAACAACUGCGAAAGCAUUUGCCAAGGAUGUUUUCAUUAA